This is a long non-coding RNA of Cyprinus carpio (common carp), 1554 nucleotides long. The record is from Ensembl. NCBI's taxonomy places the organism in Eukaryota, Metazoa, Chordata, Actinopteri, Cypriniformes, Cyprinidae.
GGUCAGUGGUCAAUGAGGCAGGGUGGGGUUACUGUGUCAUAAUCACAAUAAAGGAAAGGCUCAGCACUUCUUUAUUUGCACACAGAAAACACACCUAAAAUCAUCAUACAAAUUUCAGUAAUUAUAAACAGGCAAAACCACUGACGUUUCUCAAAUUUUCCUCUGAACAGAGAUCAGAAGAGAUCAGUGUGUUUUUUUCAGCACCGCACUGGACGUGCUGCUUGAGAGGAUGACAUCUGAAUGAAGACUCUGCUGCACUGAGCCUUUAGACUCUGAGCAUUCAAUAUAUAUGAUCAAUACAUGGAUUCCCACCAGCAGAUAACACCCAUUGCCUUGCAGAGGAACAUCCGGACAUCCGGCUGGAGUCACUCCGAGAGAGCGAACCGCAGGAGACGUGUCCAUGGGCAACGACCUAUCCGUGGACACAACAUCCUGGGCGUGCCUGGUGCACAUGACUCGCCCCCUGAGAAAGAACAGCGAGCGCUGCCCUGAUAUCUGCUAUGUGAUAGCAGCCAACGCAACUCCCCUCCGCUAAACCUGCAGAACCAUCCGUGGCUGUCCCGCGAGGGCUGUGCGAACCCAGCGCCAACAUUGUUAUUGGCUCCAAAAGCAAACGAAACUGUGGCUUUUUCUGUUUUGCGUCUCGUGACACUAGCCUGUCUGGUGUGAGCAGAUGCUCUGUGAAUCAAUGGCUGCUUUAGACAAGCUUACGGUGCAUGUGGAAGCUCAGUUAUGCUGCAGCGUAGCGGCUCAUGCAUGGAGAGAAUCAGAAUGAAUGCUAUAGACUAGUCAUCAAUGUGAUAAACAUUUCUUGAAUUGAUAAAUAAGACACAAAAAUGGCAGAACUGUAUGUGGGUAUCCUGGAGACAAAAUUGUCUGUGAUUCAGUAAAUGGUGCAGAGGUUGUGCUGUUGGGUGGAGGGAUUGGAUGAUCUGAGAGGAAUGUAAUGAGUUGUGCAGCUCACGUGAAAACAGACGUGGAAAAACACUACUGGAGACAGUGAAUGGAAACAAUACGGGUCUCUUAAAAAUCACAGGGCUAUUUGAGAAGAGAUUGAUUCCUAAAAUGCGAACCGUCCGAGAUUCUUGGUUUUAUUUGCCAGCGGAAUUUGUAUUUCAUGCCGCCUGUUGAAUUAAUCGUAACAGCACACAUUCUAGUAAGUUGCGUGUGUGGUGGGGAUUUGUGUAAAUGUAUGAGGAUAAGCAAGCGUGUUGCGGUGGCUGAGUCUAAUGAUGUGCUGUGGUUUUGGCAGUGACGAGUGACAGCUCCUGUAUUCUGCGGCAUGCACAGAUCUGUGCUGAAUCUGAAAACCACUGGCAGAGCCUGUACAGACAAGAAAAGAGCAAUUUGUCUACAAAUCACACUGGAGAUGGAAGAUCAGCAGAUAAAGGAAAAUAGAAAUGCUGUUGUAAUAUGAUUAUAAUUUACUAUAAAGAGGAAAUAUAGCACGUGAUAAGGAAGUUGAGAAACUAACCUCGGCCAAUGGUUAAUUACGGUUUUAUUGGACAUUAAAAUUAUUUACCGUGAUUUUCCAAUCAGAAUAAAACAUUUCAG